Molecule: long non-coding RNA, 897 nt
Organism: Manis pentadactyla (Chinese pangolin)
Lineage: Eukaryota; Metazoa; Chordata; Mammalia; Pholidota; Manidae
Exons: 3
Source: RefSeq, a predicted model, not a curated record
GGCUCUCUGGGGCGCUGGGGGCUGAAGCACCACAGUCGCUGAUGGCGUGCGGACGGGAGAGCGUCCCCUCCCGAGGCGGGGAGUCCUCAGGUGGCCAAGAAAAGCAAGAGCUCAGAUGGGCCCACGGAGAGGUUUCCUGGCCAGCUUUUUCUCCUGCGCAUUUCACUUACACAGGUGAAAGCCCUUCAGAGAGGGGACCUGGGCCCUCUCUGAGGGCAGAGAGAUUCUCCUCGCCGAUUUCAUGGAGGAAGAGCCGCCUUCAGGAUGUCCACGCGGCAAAGAACUGAGAACAGCCCCCAGCUGACCUUCAGAAGCAACGGGGGCUCUCAGUCCUGCAGCCACAAGGAAAUUAAUUCUGCCAGCAACCUGAAUGAAUCUGGAAGCAGUUUUUCCCCCAGCUGAUGAAAACAUCCGGGCUGAAGCCUUGCCUGCAGUCUCGGGAGACCCCGCGCGGAGGAUUCGGCUACACCGCGCCUGGGCUCCUGACCCACAGAAACUGAGGUGACAUUUUUUGGGCCUUGUUCCCAGAUUCUAAAGAGGUUGUCAGUUUGAAACCUGCAACUUCUUAUAUACUGACUCCACCUUCUAAUUAGAAAAGACGUCUGAAAAUAGAGUGUGCUGGGUCGCCUUCUCCAAGCUUAGAGUCUUUUGAGGAAAUGAAAAAGCGGAGAAAAGAAGAAAGAUGGAAAGAAGAAAGACUGAGUGGUUGCAGUAGAAAAAACUAUAAAACUGGAGGCAGGUCAGGGGCUGGACAGAAGAACCUUUUUCCCUGCCAACGCUAGUGGCUCACAACUGGCCCCAAGCCGCCAGGGCUUCUCAUCAGCCCAGUGGUUUCCUGGUGGAUGCAUUUAUUUUGUUUGAUUAUUUGCUUUUCAAUAAAGUCAACAUGGUCUUGGG